GCAGGUUGCCCUGACACUCGCCGGUCUACCUCAGGUUAUUGUGUCUUCCUUGGCAAUAACCUGGUGUCGUGGUCUGCUAAGCGGCAGCACACGGUCUCUCGGUCUAGCGCCGAGGCCGAAUACAGGGCAGCUGCAAAUGUCGUGGCUGAAACAUGUUGGUUACGGCAACUUCUUCAGGAGCUUCAUCGACCAGUGACUGGUGCCACUGUGGUGUUUUGUGAUAAUGUGAGCUCCUUUUACAUGACACAGAAUCCCGUUCAUCAUCAGUGCACCAAGCAUGUGGAGAUCGAUUUGCACUUUGUGCGCGACCGUGUCACCACAGGCGAGGUCCGGGUUCUUCACGUUCCGAGUUCUUCUCAAUUUGCGGACAUUUUCACCAAAGGAUUGCCAUCCCCUCUCUUCUUGGAUUUUCGGGACAGUCUUAACAUUCGUCGACGCCCGUUUACGACUAAGGGAGGGUGUUAG
Molecule: ribosomal RNA, 465 nt
Filed under: Triticum aestivum (bread wheat)
Lineage: Eukaryota; Viridiplantae; Streptophyta; Magnoliopsida; Poales; Poaceae
Description: partial small subunit ribosomal RNA
Source: RNAcentral